GACGAACGCUGGCGGCGUGCUUAACACAUGCAAGUCGAACGGAAAGGCCCUGCUUUUGUGGGGUGCUCGAGUGGCGAACGGGUGAGUAACACGUGAGUAGCCUGCCCCUGACUUUGGGAUAACUUCAGGAAACUGGGGCUAAUACCGGAUAGGAGCUCCUGCUGCAUGGUGGGGGUUGGAAAGCUUCGGCGGUUGGGGAUGGACUCGCGGCUUAUCAGCUUGUUGGUGGGGUAGUGGCUUACCAAGGCUUUGACGGGUAGCCGGCCUGAGAGGGUGACCGGCCACAUUGGGACUGAGAUACGGCCCAGACUCCUACGGGAGGCAGCAGUGGGGAAUAUUGCACAAUGGGCGGAAGCCUGAUGCAGCAACGCCGCGUGCGGGAUGACGGCCUUCGGGUUGUAAACCGCUUUCGCCUGUGACGAAGCGUGAGUGACGGUAAUGGGUAAAGAAGCACCGGCUAACUACGUGCCAGCAGCCGCGGUGAUACGUAGGGUGCGAGCGUUGUCCGGAUUUAUUGGGCGUAAAGGGCUCGUAGGUGGUUGAUCGCGUCGGAAGUGUAAUCUUGGGGCUUAACCCUGAGCGUGCUUUCGAUACGGGUUGACUUGAGGAAGGUAGGGGAGAAUGGAAUUCCUGGUGGAGCGGUGGAAUGCGCAGAUAUCAGGAGGAACACCAGUGGCGAAGGCGGUUCUCUGGGCCUUUCCUGACGCUGAGGAGCGAAAGCGUGGGGAGCGAACAGGCUUAGAUACCCUGGUAGUCCACGCUGUAAACGGUGGGUACUAGGUGUGGGGUCCAUUCCACGGGUUCCGUGCCGUAGCUAACGCUUUAAGUACCCCGCCUGGGGAGUACGGCCGCAAGGCUAAAACUCAAAGGAAUUGACGGGGCCCCGCACAAGCGGCGGAGCAUGCGGAUUAAUUCGAUGCAACGCGUAGAACCUUACCUGGGUUUGACAUGGAUCGGGAGUGCUCAGAGAUGGGUGUGCCUCUUUUGGGGUCGGUUCACAGGUGGUGCAUGGCUGUCGUCAGCUCGUGUCGUGAGAUGUUGGGUUAAGUCCCGCAACGAGCGCAACCCUUGUUCACUGUUGCCAGCACGUUAUGGUGGGGACUCAGUGGAGACCGCCGGGGUCAACUCGGAGGAAGGUGGGGAUGACGUCAAGUCAUCAUGCCCCUUAUGUCCAGGGCUUCACGCAUGCUACGAUGGCUGGUACAGAGAGUGGCGAGCCUGUGAGGGUGAGCGAAUCUCGGAAAGCCGGUCUCAGUUCGGAUUGGGGUCUGCAACUCGACCUCAUGAAGUCGGAGUCGCUAGUAAUCGCAGAUCAGCAACGCUGCGGUGAAUACGUUCCCGGG
RNAcentral lists this ribosomal RNA (1343 nucleotides) under uncultured bacterium. RNAcentral's name for it is "16S ribosomal RNA". It matches the Rfam family "Bacterial small subunit ribosomal RNA", at positions 28 to 1378 of the family's 1533-position model. The record is from RNAcentral.